Molecule: ribosomal RNA, 531 nt
Filed under: uncultured bacterium
Lineage: Bacteria
Description: bacterial SSU rRNA
Rfam family: Bacterial small subunit ribosomal RNA
Source: RNAcentral
AGAGUUUGAUCCUGGCUCAGGACGAACGCUGGCGGCGCGCUUAACACAUGCAAGUCGAGCGAGAACCAGGGCUUCGGCCCCGGGGACAGCGGCGAACGGGUGAGUAACACGUGGGUAAUCUGCCCUCGGUACUGGGAUAGCCCGGGGAAACCCGGAUUAAUACCGGAUGGCCCUUCGAGUUUUCGAAUUCGAAGGAAAAGGUAGCUUCGGCCUCCGACCGAGGAUGAGCCCGCGGCGGAUUAGCUUGUUGGUGGGGUAACGGCCUACCAAGGCGACGAUCCGUAGCUGGUCUGAGAGGACGAUCAGCCACACUGGGACUGAGACACGGCCCAGACUCCUACGGGAGGCAGCAGUGGGGAAUCUUGCCCAAUGGGCGAAAGCCUGAGGCAGCGACGCCGCGUGCGGGAAGAAGGCCUUCGGGUUGUAAACCGCUUUCAGGAGGGACGAAGCCACUCGGGUGAAUAGCCCAGAGGGUGACGGUACCUCCAGAAGAAGCCCCGGCUAACUACGUGCCAGCAGCCGCGGUAAUAC